This 497-nucleotide ribosomal RNA is filed under the name uncultured bacterium. RNAcentral describes it as "partial 16S ribosomal RNA". It matches the Rfam family "Bacterial small subunit ribosomal RNA", at positions 28 to 507 of the family's 1533-position model. The record is from RNAcentral.
GACGAACGCUGGCGGCGUGCCUAAUACAUGCAAGUUGAGCGAUGAAGAUUGGUGCUUGCCCCAAUUUGAAGAGCAGCGAACGGGUGAGUAACGCGUGGGGAAUCUGCCUUUGAGCGGGGGACAACAUUUGGAAACGAAUGCUAAUACCGCAUAAUAACUUUAAACAUAAGUUUUAAGUUUGAAAGAUGCAAUUGCAUCACUCAAAGAUGAUCCCGCGUUGUAUUAGCUAGUUGGUGAGGUAAAGGCUCACCAAGGCGAUGAUACAUAGCCGACCUGAGAGGGUGGUCGGCCACAUUGGGACUGAGACACGGCCCAAACUCCUACGGGAGGCAGCAGUAGGGGAUCUUCGGCAAUGGACGAAAGUCUGACCGAGCAACGCCGCGUGAGUGAAGAAGGUCUUCGGAUCGUAAAACUCUGUUGGUAGAGAAGAACGUUGGUGAGAGUGGAAAGCUCAUCAAGUGACGGUAACUACCCAGAAAGGGACGGCUAACUACGUG